Molecule: ribosomal RNA, 497 nt
Filed under: uncultured bacterium
Lineage: Bacteria
Description: partial 16S ribosomal RNA
Rfam family: Bacterial small subunit ribosomal RNA
Source: RNAcentral
GAUGAACGCUGGCGGCGUGCCUAAUACAUGCAAGUCGAGCGAACAGACGAGGAGCUUGCUCCUCUGACGUUAGCGGCGGACGGGUGAGUAACACGUGGAUAACCUACCUAUAAGACUGGGAUAACUUCGGGAAACCGGAGCUAAUACCGCAUAAUAUAUUGAACCGCAUGGUUCAAUAGUGAAAGACGGUUUUGCUGUCACUUAUAGAUGGAUCCGCGCCGCAUUAGCUAGUUGGUAAGGUAACGGCUUACCAAGGCAACGACGCGUAGCCGACCUGAGAGGGUGAUCGGCCACACUGGAACUGAGACACGGUCCAGACUCCUACGGGAGGCAGCAGUAGGGAAUCUUCCGCAAUGGGCGAAAGCCUGACGGAGCAACGCCGCGUGAGUGAUGAAGGUCUUCGGAUCGUAAAACUCUGUUAUUAGGGAAGAACAAAUGUGUAAGUAACUAUGCACGUCUUGACGGUACCUAAUCAGAAAGCCACGGCUAACUACGUG